AACGCUAGCUACAGGCUUAACACAUGCAAGUCGAGGGGCAGCAUGGUCUUAGCUUGCUAAGGCCGAUGGCGACCGGCGCACGGGUGAGUAACACGUAUCCAACCUGCCGUCUACUCUUGGACAGCCUUCUGAAAGGAAGAUUAAUACAAGAUGGCAUCAUGAGUCCGCAUGUUCACAUGAUUAAAGGUAUUCCGGUAGACGAUGGGGAUGCGUUCCAUUAGAUAGUAGGCGGGGUAACGGCCCACCUAGUCUUCGAUGGAUAGGGGUUCUGAGAGGAAGGUCCCCCACAUUGGAACUGAGACACGGUCCAAACUCCUACGGGAGGCAGCAGUGAGGAAUAUUGGUCAAUGGGCGAGAGCCUGAACCAGCCAAGUAGCGUGAAGGAUGACUGCCCUAUGGGUUGUAAACUUCUUUUAUAAAGGAAUAAAGUCGGGUAUGGAUACCCGUUUGCAUGUACUUUAUGAAUAAGGAUCGGCUAACUCCGUGCCAGCAGCCGCGGUAAUACGGAGGAUCCGAGCGUUAUCCGGAUUUGUUGGGUUUAAAGGGAGCGUAGAUGGAUGUUUAAGUCAGUUGUGAAAGUUUGCGGCUCAACCGUAAAAUUGCAGUUGAUACUGGAUACCUUGAGUGCAGUUGAGGCAGGCGGAAUUCGUGGUGUAGCGGUGAAAUGCUUAGAUAUCACGAAGAACUCCGAUUG
This 694-nucleotide ribosomal RNA is filed under the name uncultured bacterium. Its description in RNAcentral is "bacterial SSU rRNA". It matches the Rfam family "Bacterial small subunit ribosomal RNA", at positions 32 to 715 of the family's 1533-position model. The record is from RNAcentral.